CAGUCGAGCGGACCGACGGGAGCUUGCUCCCUUAGGUCAGCGGCGGACGUGUGAGUAACACGUGGGUAACCUGCCUGUAAGACUGGGAUACAUCUUCCGGGAAACCGGGGCUAAUACCGGAUGCUUGAUUGAACCGCAUGGUUCAAUCAUAAAAGGCGGCUUCGGCUGCCGUUUACAGAUGGACCCGCGGCGCAUUAGCUAGUUGGUGAGGUAACGGCUCACCAAGGCGACGAUGCGUAGCCGACCUGAGAGGGUGAUCGGCCACACUGGGACUGAGACACGGCCCAGACUCCUACGGGAGGCAGCAGUAGGGAAUCUUCCGCAAUGGACGAGAGUCUGACGGAGCAACGCCGCGUGAGUGAUGAAGGUUUUCGGAUCGUAAAGCUCUGUUGUUAGGGAAGAACAAGUACCGUUCGAAUAGGGCGGUACCUUGACUGUACCUAACCAGAAAGCCACGGCUAACUACGUGCCAGCAGCCGCGGUAAUACGUAGGUGGCAAGCGUUGUCCGGAAUUAUUGGGCGUAGAGCGCGC
Molecule: ribosomal RNA, 532 nt
Filed under: Bacillus sp. PSu5_2
Lineage: Bacteria; Bacillati; Bacillota; Bacilli; Caryophanales; Bacillaceae
Description: bacterial SSU rRNA
Rfam family: Bacterial small subunit ribosomal RNA
Source: RNAcentral